GCUCCCAUAGUGUAGACCGGCCAAUCAUUCUAGCCUUUCGAGCUAGGGACUCGGGUUCGAAUCCCGAUGGGAGCA
RNAcentral lists this transfer RNA (75 nucleotides) under Methanobacteriota archaeon. Its description in RNAcentral is "Euryarchaeota archaeon (groundwater metagenome) tRNA-Glu". It matches the Rfam family "tRNA". From Rfam's summary of the family: Transfer RNA (tRNA) molecules are approximately 80 nucleotides in length. Their secondary structure includes four short double-helical elements and three loops (D, anti-codon, and T loops). Further hydrogen bonds mediate the characteristic L-shaped molecular structure. tRNAs have two regions of fundamental functional importance: the anti-codon, which is responsible for specific mRNA codon recognition, and the 3' end, to which the tRNAs corresponding amino acid is attached (by aminoacyl-tRNA synthetases). tRNAs cope with the degeneracy of the genetic code in two manners: having more than one tRNA (with a specific anti-codon) for a particular amino acid; and 'wobble' base-pairing, i.e. permitting non-standard base-pairing at the 3rd anti-codon position. Lineage: Archaea; Methanobacteriati; Methanobacteriota. RNAcentral also lists the same sequence under 1 other name. The record is from RNAcentral.